This is a long non-coding RNA of Crotalus tigris (Tiger rattlesnake), 975 nucleotides long. RefSeq lists it as uncharacterized. The transcript has 4 exons. Lineage: Eukaryota; Metazoa; Chordata; Lepidosauria; Squamata; Viperidae. The record is from RefSeq and is a predicted model, not a curated record.
AGGGGUUCAGGUGGGUAGGAUGGAGGGGGCAGAAGAUAGGCAGGUGAGGGCAGCUGCAGUGUCUCUGCCAUUGGUUGUGAAGGUGAGAGGAUUGCAAAGCAUCUAAAUUUUAUUCACAUGACUGCAGGUGCUCUUUAGUGACUAUCACUUUGGGUCCACAUUUUCAACAUUUACUGAAUAAAUGAUGAUAAGUUGAAGACUACCUGUAGUUGGAUGUCACUAGCAGUCAAGUUUGAACUGAAGCAAUCGUCACCAAUUAGGGAGUUUACCCCAACCUUUGUAAGCCGCCUAGAGUCGCCUUGAAGUGAGAUAGGCAGCCAACAAAUCUAAUAAAUAAAAUAAAAAUAAACCUGAUGACUGCUCCAUACAAUCUAGCAGUGACACCCCCUGCAUUUGUGCAGCACUACAAUCCUGUCCUUUCAAAAUCCAGAGAAGGAACCAGAUCCAUUAAACCCAUAAAGUGCAGGGGGCUAAAUAUUUACCAUUAUGGGAGCUCCAUCUUGAGACAAAGUGAGCCAGCCAAACAAACAGUGUGGAAAAAAGAUCUUUAUCACUAAUAACAAACUCACCUGUCAAAGUCUUUGUUGCAUAAUAUUCAGGGUAAAGUGCUCCUGAAAUAAAGAUAUAAUACUGUACAUAUGAAGCUGUCAACUGUCAAUUCAGGAAAGUUGCUGUGCCUUGAAAAGUGGCUCAAGAAAUACAGAAGUAGGAUGAUAGUAGUUGCAGGAAGAAGUUGCAAGAUGGAGAAAUACUGUCAAACUGCUGAGAGAAUGUAUGAGUCUGGCACACAUCAAGAACUACACCCAGCAUGUGGAAUGACCUCUGGCAGACCCAUGUAAAGUGUGCUGCAGUAAUCUGAGUACUGAAGAGGGAGGUCAAGCUAUUCUCCAAAGCACUUGAAGGAAGAACAAGAAGCAAAGGAUGGAAACUAAUCAAGGAGAGAAGCAACCUACCACUAAGGAGAAAUUUUCUGAC